CGCACGGUAAACGAUGGAUGCCCGCUGUGUGCCCCUGGGGUACGUGGCCAAGCGAAAGCGUUAAGCAUCCCACCUGGGGAGUACGCCGGCAACGGUGAAACUCAAAGGAAUUGACGGGGGCCCGCACAAGCGGAGGAACAUGUGGUUUAAUUCGAUGAUACGCGAGGAACCUUACCCGGGCUUGAAUUGCAGAGGAACAUAGUUGAAAGAUUAUGGCCGCAAGGUCUCUGUGAAGGUGC
This 239-nucleotide ribosomal RNA is filed under the name uncultured bacterium. RNAcentral describes it as "partial 16S ribosomal RNA". It matches the Rfam family "Bacterial small subunit ribosomal RNA", at positions 796 to 1041 of the family's 1533-position model. The record is from RNAcentral.